Molecule: ribosomal RNA, 380 nt
Filed under: uncultured eukaryote
Lineage: Eukaryota
Description: partial 18S ribosomal RNA
Rfam family: Eukaryotic small subunit ribosomal RNA
Source: RNAcentral
CAAUAGCGUAUAUUAAAGUUGUUGCAGUUAAAAAGCUCGUAAUUGGAUUUGUGGCGUACGGUGGGUUCCGGGCACUUGUUGUCUGAGUAACUUGCUGUUGCCAUCCUUGGGUGGAACCUGUGUGGCAUUAGGUUGUCGUGCAGGGGAUGCCCAUCAUUUACUGUGAAAAAAUUAGAGUGUUCAAAGCAGGCUUAUGCCGUUGAAUAUAUUAGCAUGGAAUAAUGAGAUAGGACUUUUUUGCUAUUUUGUUGGUUUGCGCAAAGAGGUAAUGAUUAAUAGGGACAGUUGGGGGUAUUCGUAUUCCAUUGUCAGAGGUGAAAUUCUUGGAUUUUUGGAAGACGAACUACUGCGAAAGCAUUUACCAAGGAUGUUUUCAUUAA